Molecule: unclassified non-coding RNA, 372 nt
Filed under: uncultured Gammaproteobacteria bacterium
Lineage: Bacteria; Pseudomonadati; Pseudomonadota; Gammaproteobacteria
Description: contains 16S-23S intergenic spacer region
Source: RNAcentral
UCCGGUUUGUCACCGGCAGUCUCCCUGGAGUGCUCUUGCGUAGCAACUAGGGACAAGGGUUGCGCUCGUUGCGGGACUUAACCCAACAUCUCACGACACGAGCUGACGACAGCCAUGCAGCACCUGUGUAUCGGUUCCCUUUCGGGCACUCCCACCUCUCAGCAGGAUUCCGACCAUGUCAAGGGUAGGUAAGGUUUUUCGCGUUGCAUCGAAUUAAUCCACAUCAUCCACCGCUUGUGCGGGUCCCCGUCAAUUCCUUUGAGUUUUAAUCUUGCGACCGUACUCCCCAGGCGGUCAACUUCACGCGUUAGCUACGUUACCAAGCCAAUGAAGGCCCGACAACCAGUUGACAUCGUUUAGGGCGUGGACUAC